This 1588-nucleotide long non-coding RNA is filed under the name Pelobates cultripes (western spadefoot toad). Lineage: Eukaryota; Metazoa; Chordata; Amphibia; Anura; Pelobatidae. The record is from RNAcentral.
GUGCAGCAUGGGGAGGAGGGGGAGUGUGAGUAUAGGCUGAAGUCAGUGAGUGAGUCUUUUAAUAAGCGUUUGCUAUUGAGUUUAUGGAAGCAGCCUUAUGUCUGCAGCAGUCUGCCCAGGCCCAUGGAAAUGCAGCAUCAUUUCUCCAGGGGUAUAACAGAUCCACCCCACCCCACAAAAAAAGCUUGCUCAUGGCUUUGAGGAAGCUGACAUGCCUGUAAGGAGGGGGAGGUAAGAGAGAGGUCAUUCCAAAGGACGGCAUGGGAGCUCUCACAGCCCACCUGCAGCAUGCAGAUCUCCAGAAUGUGAGUAGAAUCCUGACAUUAAGGGGGUUCACUUAUUAUAACCAGAAAUACUUCACAUCAUGUGCCUGUAUUCUAACACGUGUUCCCAAGGGCAACAAUGCAGCUUUUAUCAAAUGCAUACUUAGAUCUGCAGUGCCCACGUGUUAUAUAUGUGCUACUGGUCAUUAUCCUUCACUGUCUUCUGUAUUACUAAUUAUUUUUUAUUUUCCAUUUUUAAUGCACUGGAAGGAGUUUAAAAUAUUACAAUUUGUGAUUGCCAGAUGUCUUCUGUAAAUAGUACCUAACCUGUGACUCUUUUUUUUUUUAAUUAACUGUCUAAAAUGUGUGGUCCCAUCUUUUUAUGACCUUGAGCGAUCUAUUUUUAUGGUUUUGUCCUCCCCAGCAUCUACAUAUAGAUUGUAAGCUCUUGUUACAAAGCAUUUGCAUCUAUGGCCGCCAUUAACUGUGCAGAAUAUUCUCAGUAGUAGAUUGCAGUUUUGUUUAGUAUGCAUUUGAUUUCUAAUUUUAUAGCUGGUUUUUUUCUUUCUUUUUUUUUUUUUUCUUUUCGUUUUUUUGUAAGUCACGUUAGUGUGUGCGCGCCAAUAUCGUGAUGUGUAUGUAUAAUGUGCAUGGGGAAAUCAAGCUGAUACAGUAUUUGCUUUACUUGUUAUUAUGUGUUGCAUAUAUGUACACUGAUAAUGCCAUUCGUUAUUGAUGGUGCUUUUCUUACAUGAUUGCUGUUAUAAACAGUACUUUGGGUAUCUAAUUGUUUGCAACUAAUACACAUGCUUUUAUUAAUCCUAUGCACUUCACAGGCCUGGGCUGCUGCAGAAGCAUCUGAUGGGUGAACGCGUGGCAGAGCAAGCGACAACCUAACUCUGCUGCAUCACGCCCUCCUGCAUCUAUUGGCUGGGAAAUUGGAGUUUGAAGGAGAAGAACCCUGUAAUUGGUUGCCUGGGCUGUCUGACAAAACACCUUUUCCCCUUGCAGUAAGAGUGGCUGAGCCACAGUGGGGAGCGCACUUAACCCUUCGUUUUCCAUAAAGAAACUGCGACGCCAUUAAUCAUCGCAUCUAAAGAGAAUCGGCGUUCUUAAUGAAAAACAUUUUGUUUCUUUCUCAGUUUGCAAACAAGUAAAAAAAGCUGCAUUGUUUUAUAUUAUGUAUUUUUUCAGUCUCCCUCUUGAUAUACAUUAAGGCGGUAUUUACUUUAACACGUCUCUGAUAAAUCAUUCCUGAAAUGCAGGACAGACUAAACUGUGACUUUGCAGAGGGGCCUGGGAACUAAUGUCUUCUCAUAUUAAAC